RNAcentral lists this ribosomal RNA (260 nucleotides) under Frigoribacterium sp. ISO145_OTU41306. Its description in RNAcentral is "partial 16S ribosomal RNA". It matches the Rfam family "Bacterial small subunit ribosomal RNA", at positions 29 to 289 of the family's 1533-position model. The record is from RNAcentral. RNAcentral also lists the same sequence under 1 other name. Lineage: Bacteria; Bacillati; Actinomycetota; Actinomycetes; Micrococcales; Microbacteriaceae.
ACGAACGCUGGCGGCGUGCUUAACACAUGCAAGUCGAACGAUGAACUGGAGCUUGCUCCAGGGAUUAGUGGCGAACGGGUGAGUAACACGUGAGUAACCUGCCCUUGACUCUGGGAUAAGCGCUAGAAAUGGCGUCUAAUACCGGAUACGAGCUUCAGCCGCAUGGCUAGGAGUUGGAAAGAAUUUUGGUCAAGGAUGGACUCGCGGCCUAUCAGCUAGUUGGUGAGGUAAUGGCUCACCAAGGCGACGACGGGUAGCCG